CUCUUUCUUGUGGACAUUGAUCUUGUAACUAUUUACUUUUCCUUUUGUUUUGUGAUGGGAACACGAGAACCUUUAUCUGCUACAAACUAUUACAACACUAUUGGCAUGUUGACAAAUAAGUAAAUAUACUAACACUAACACUAACAAGCAACAAGUUACAACAUUCCCUGCCCUAACACAUGACCUAUAUUGACCUAUAUUUUUCUUUUUCCUUUUAAUUUUUUAAUUUGUUCAUUUUUUUACUUUGAUUCCAUUAAUUUAAACCCUCUUUACUUUCUCCAAUUCAAUUCUGUUGAAUCUUUCACAUAUUCCU
This 313-nucleotide long non-coding RNA is filed under the name Vigna radiata. RNAcentral describes it as "long non-coding RNA (VRAD_LNC017375)". The record is from RNAcentral. Lineage: Eukaryota; Viridiplantae; Streptophyta; Magnoliopsida; Fabales; Fabaceae.